Molecule: non-coding RNA, 27 nt
Filed under: Bombyx mori (domestic silkworm)
Lineage: Eukaryota; Metazoa; Arthropoda; Insecta; Lepidoptera; Bombycidae
Source: RNAcentral
UCAAGAUUAAGAAACCUACGCAAUGCU